Molecule: ribosomal RNA, 497 nt
Filed under: uncultured bacterium
Lineage: Bacteria
Description: bacterial SSU rRNA
Rfam family: Bacterial small subunit ribosomal RNA
Source: RNAcentral
GAUGAACGCUAGCGGCAGGCUUAAUACAUGCAAGGUUGAGGGGCAGCAUGAUAUACGCGAGUAUAUUGAUGGCGACCGGCGGACGGGUGGGUAAUAGGUAGGAGACCUACCUCAUACAGGGGGAUAGCAUAGAGAAAUCUGUGGUAAUACCCCAUGAGGUUAUAUGAAUAGAGGCAUAUAAUCAAAGCAUAAGCGAUUAUGCGGUAUGAGAGGGGCCUACUGACCAUUAGCUAGUUGGUGAGGUAAGGGCUCACCAAGGCGAAGAUGGUUAGGGGUUUUGAGAGAGAGACCCCCCCACAUUGGAACUGAGAGACGGUCCAGACUCCUACGGGAGGCAGCAGUAGGGAAUAUUGGGCAAUGGGCGAAAGCCUGACCCAGCCAUGCCGCGUGAAGGAAGACGGCCUUAUGGGUUGUAAACUUCUUUACUACGCGAAUAGAGGUUAGUACGAGAUACUAAUAGGAAGGUAGUGUAGUAAAAAGCACCGGCUAACUCCGUG